GACGAACGCUGGCGGCGUGCUUAACACAUGCAAGUCGAACGAAGUGGCGAACGAGUGAGUAACGCGUAAUCAAACUGCCCUUCAGAGGAGGACAAAAGUUGGAAACGAAUGCUAAUAGCGCAUACUGACGCAGGGGCUUGAGUCUAAUUAGAUAGUUGGAGGGGUAACGGCCCACCAAGGAAAUGAGCAGUAGCCGGUCUGAGAUGAUGAGCGGCCACAUGGGGACGGAGACACGGCCCAGACUCCGACGGUAGGCAGCAGUGGGGAAUCUUCCGCAAUGGACGAAAGUCUGACGGAGCAACGCCGCGUGAGUGAUGACGGCUUUCGGGUUGUAAAGCUCUGUUAAUCGGGACGCGGUACCGGAAUAGAAAGCCACGGCUAACUACGUGCCAGCAGCCGCGGUAAUAC
RNAcentral lists this ribosomal RNA (408 nucleotides) under uncultured bacterium. RNAcentral describes it as "partial 16S ribosomal RNA". It matches the Rfam family "Bacterial small subunit ribosomal RNA", at positions 28 to 526 of the family's 1533-position model. The record is from RNAcentral.